GGGGGGUCUAUUGAAUUGAGGGGACUGUGUUACAUUUUGUUGUAUCAAUGCCAUUUGAUUCUGCAUUCAUACUGGUGGCCUGUUGGAAGCUCACAAUUGCUGUGGUGACCCUCCAGAUUUGGGGCAAAAAGGAAUUCUGUUCUGUUCUGUCAUCUCUGUGGUUCAACCAUUUCUUUUUAGUAGGGAUAUUUGUAGCAGAAGAGUGAUUGGUGAUGCUUUUCCUAAAUAUAUAUUUUUUUUUCUUUCAAUUUUCUUUUCUUUUUUGAAGGUUUUUUUUUCCCCUGAGAACAUUAAUGUUAAUAUUUAUUGUAUGCGAAAUAUUAGUGUCAGUUUUUUCGGUCAUAAACUUGGUAUGGAAUUUAAAUCUUAAUACUC
RNAcentral lists this unclassified non-coding RNA (375 nucleotides) under Hevea brasiliensis (rubber tree). The record is from RNAcentral. Lineage: Eukaryota; Viridiplantae; Streptophyta; Magnoliopsida; Malpighiales; Euphorbiaceae.